RNAcentral lists this ribosomal RNA (207 nucleotides) under uncultured bacterium. RNAcentral describes it as "partial 16S ribosomal RNA". It matches the Rfam family "Bacterial small subunit ribosomal RNA", at positions 568 to 774 of the family's 1533-position model. The record is from RNAcentral.
UGCGUAGGUGGUUUGUUAAGUCAGAUGUGAAAGCCCCGGGCUCAACCUGGGAACUGCAUUUGAUACUGUCAGGCUAGAGUGUGGUAGAGGGAAGUGGAAUUCCGGGUGUAGCGGUAAAAUGCGUAGAUAUCCGGAGGAACACCGGUGGCGAAGGCGGCUUCCUGGACCGACACUGACACUGAGGCACGAAAGCGUGGGUAGCAAACA